Molecule: long non-coding RNA, 668 nt
Filed under: Monodelphis domestica (gray short-tailed opossum)
Lineage: Eukaryota; Metazoa; Chordata; Mammalia; Didelphimorphia; Didelphidae
Description: lncRNA (ENSMODG00000033599.2)
Source: RNAcentral
UGUGUAAUUGUAAACAUAAGAGUUAUACAGGAAAUUCAAAAACAGUUUCUUCUCUAUCUUUAUGUCAGUAUCAGUCAUGGUAUUCUACUCCAAGGUAACAUUUUGAAAUAUUAGAAAGACUUCACAGCAAGUGAGAUUCAACACAUAUUCUGAAAUGAAGAUUAAAGUGUCAAAUUAAGAGACUCUGUAAACUGUUUAGUCUUGCAAGAUCACUUCCUGCAUAGAGUGCUUUGAGGAAUAAGCAACUGUCAAUGUUUUCUGAGUUUAAAGACGUCCCAUGCUAGAUUGCUGGCUCCAGCAUGAAUAACCCCGAUGUCUUCUGCCCUCUUGGAUCCAAGAAAUGAUAGUGGGGUCAACUUGGAAGCUAGAGAGUCAUAGAGCUAAAAAUUUCCUGAAUCAAUCAUGGAAUCUUAGGAUUGGAGUCGGAGCAGUGAACUGGACCAUUUAUCUAGUCUCAUCUUCCCCUCAAUGCAAGAAUCUUUGAUGAGAAAACUGAGGCCCAAAGAAGUUAAAUGAUUUGCCUGUGGUCACACAAUCAAGAAGUGGCAGAGUGGGAAACCCUGAAGCCAGAUCUUCCUACUGCAGGAUUAAUGAUCAUUUGACUUUUAUCAGGUACUAUCUUUUCCUCUGUGAUUUAAAUAAAGUUAUCAGGAGGUGGCUAGAUAGCA